CUAAGGAUGAUCAUAGAAUUUGAGUUCGCUCAAAUCGUUGAUCACUUAGCAACAGAUCUGUCCUUUGCAGAUCUAUAUCGACAGGUUCUUCGGAACACUGUUCGGACCAGGCCGUCCUCAUAUCUCUUCAGUCCAGUAAAAUCAAAGACAGACCACCGGUCUGGUAAGGGUCGGUAGCUCAGGUGGUUAGAGCGCACGCCUGAUAAGCGUGAGGUCGGAGGUUCAAGUCCUCCUCGACCCACCAAGCCGCAAUUUGCGAAGUCAAAUUGUCGGCAGGCGACAGGGUAUUUUGCGAAGCAAAAUGUCCCGAGAGCCAACGGUUCCACGUGAUGGGAAGCGACAGGUUGUUCGCAUGCGAAUGACCGAGAGCGGCUCUCAGGAAUUGGUCUGUAACCUUCUCGGCAGAUUUUGCCUUGCAAAAUCGCCUGUCAGGUAUCCGCGAAUUGAACAAUUCGCUUCAGGGGCCUUAGCUCAGUUGGUAGAGCGCCUGCUUUGCAAGCAGGAUGUCAGGAGUUCGAAUCUCCUAGGCUCCACCAAAAUCCAAUUCCAAGGGAAUUGGAUUGCCAACGCUUCUUCUUGACGGAAAGCGGCAGGGUAUUUGACGCAGUCAAAUGUCCCGAGAGCGGCCUUCAGGAUGCGGGAUCAAAUCAGCAAGCACUUUCGAGUGUUUGCUCAUUCGAUCCAAUCGGAUGACCCUAAUUUACAUCGUAUAGAGAGAAUACAAUAAACAACACUGUUGGUGCCACAAGUGGGUGGUUGCCUCAGUUCGGUUCUUCUUCGGAAGAAGGCUGUUUUAAGUCCCUUUCCUCGGACUUUCUACGGUAUCCCGGCUGAAACGAUAGUGUUGUCCAAGUCAAGUACACUAACCAAGGUCUGAGAGAUCAGAUCUUAUGUGCUCUUUGAUCUUGGUGAUUGACCGACAUCAAUCGCCAAAUCGUCCUCAAGUAGCCGCAAGGCGGUAGGACAUUCAAAGAGCGCGGGAAAGUAUGCUUUUGGUCCAGAUUGCCCGCGAGGGUAAGAGGUCAGAUGAACAAAAGGUCUGUCUUCUUC
Molecule: transfer RNA, 1050 nt
Filed under: Aliiroseovarius crassostreae
Lineage: Bacteria; Pseudomonadati; Pseudomonadota; Alphaproteobacteria; Rhodobacterales; Paracoccaceae
Rfam family: tRNA (bases 461-533)
Source: RNAcentral